This 269-nucleotide long non-coding RNA is filed under the name Homo sapiens (human). RNAcentral's name for it is "non-protein coding lnc-DMAP1-2:1". The record is from RNAcentral. Lineage: Eukaryota; Metazoa; Chordata; Mammalia; Primates; Hominidae.
GAAUUUGAGACCAGCCUGGUUAACAUGGAAAAACCCUAUCCAUACUAAAAAUACAAAAAUUAGCUGGGUGUGGUGGUGCACGCCUGUAAUCCCAGCUACUUGGGAGGCUGAGGCAGAAGAAUUGCUUGGGCCUGGGAGGUGGAGGUUGCAGUGAGCUGAGAUCACACCACUGCACUCCAGCCUGGGUGACAGAGCGAGACUCUGUAAAAAAUAAAUAAAUAAUAAAUAAAAAGAAUUCAUGAAGCAUUGCCUUUUACAGAAGACCCCAG